This 468-nucleotide ribosomal RNA is filed under the name uncultured bacterium. RNAcentral's name for it is "partial 16S ribosomal RNA". It matches the Rfam family "Bacterial small subunit ribosomal RNA", at positions 28 to 507 of the family's 1533-position model. The record is from RNAcentral.
GAUGAACGCUGGCGGCGUGCUUAACACAUGCCAGUCGAACGGUGAAGGCGGAGCUUGCUCUGCUGGAUCAGUGGCGAACGGGUGAGUAACACGUGAGCAAUCUGCCCCUGACUCUGGGAUAAGCGCUGGAAACGGCGUCUAAUACUGGAUACGAGCUGCGAAGGCAUCUUCAGCAGCUGGAAAGAACUUCGGUCAGGGAUGAGCUCGCGGCCUAUCAGCUUGUUGGUGAGGUAACGGCUCACCAAGGCGUCGACGGGUAGCCGGCCUGAGAGGGUGACCGACCACACUGGGACUGAGACACGGCCCAGACUCCUACGGGAGGCAGCAGUGGGGAAUAUUGCACAAUGGGCGAAAGCCUGAUGCAGCAACGCCGCGUGAGGGACGACGGCCUUCGGGUUGUAAACCUCUUUUAGCAGGGAAGAAGCGAAAGUGACGGUACCUGCAGAAAAAGCGCCGGCUAACUACGUG